AUAUAUAUAUAUAUAUAUAUAUAUAUUUCAUAUAUUAUAUAUUAUAUAAUAUAUAGAGAGAUAUAUGUAUAUAUACAUAUUAUUGUGCUCUCCUUCAUGCCAGGAAGAGUAUCAGAGGCUGAGGACAGAAUAAGUAGACAGUGGCAUGGAGUCUGUCUCAGCAACUUACAGACUGUGGAGCAGGAUGUCCAUCAUCAUAUUUAUAAUCUAACAAAGGAUCAUAAAACAUAAAAGACUACAUCUACUACAAAGCAAUGUUUUAGUUAGCUUUUUUGUUGCUGUGACCGAAAGACCUGACAAGAACACUGUAGAGAAGGAAAAGUUUAUUUUAGCUCAUGGUUACAGAGGCUUAACUGAGUCCACAGAUCUAGGCCCCAGGUAAGGCAGAACAUUCUGGCAGAGAGUCAUGGCAGAGGAAAGCAGCUCAGGACAUGGCAACUGGAAGCAGAGACAGAUCAUUGUUCACCAGGGUCAGAAUAUAUAUCCCAAAGGCAUGCCCCCAGUGACCUACUUCCUCCAACCACACCCUACCUGCCUGCCUACAGUGACCACCCAAUUAAUCCAUAUCAGUGGAUGAAUCUACCAAGUACGUUAAAAUUCAAAAUAUGGGGCUGGGAAUGUGGCUCAAGUGGAAGCACGCUCGCCUGGCUUGCGUGCGGCCUUGGUUCGAUCCUCAGCACCACAUACAGAGAAAGAUGUUGUGUCUGCCAAUAACUAAAAAAUAAAUAUUAAAAUUCUCUCUCUCUCUCUUUAAAAAAAUUCAUAAUAUGAAAAUUCUUACAUUGUCUCACACAUAAGCUUUUGGGGGACAUUGGAUAUCUAAAUCAUAACAAGUGACUUACAUUAUGAGGGCUUAAAAUAAAGGAUCUGGCUCCUAAGGAAGUUUGGGAAAGACUCUCCUAGGAAGUGACUCCUGAAUCAAGAUAUGGAGAAUAUUUGGGCUAAACAAGGCAGAGAGAGAGAAAGGAAGUGCAUGGUACAAAUACUCAUGGAGGAAGGGAAGAGAGUGAGUGGACAGGACCUAAAGAUGGCUAUUGUCAUUACAGCAGUAAGAGUAACUGUAUCUGUAUCAUGCUGGCACUUUAAAGUAUGUUAUUCAAAUUCCUACUGAUUCAGACAAGUGACCACAAGCAAGUCACUUGACUUUUCCAUGCCUUAGUGCCUUCAUUGAUAAUAGAGAGAUAGCAAUGAUAGUAGUUCUUAGUAGAUUAUAAAUGUGAUGAUGUACAUCCUGCUCCACAGUCUGUAGGAACUACUAUUCUUAGUGAGUGUGAAGUUUAGAUAAGAAAAUGCAUGUAAUUGCUGUGUAUACAGCAAGUGCUCCAUUAAUUUUACUAAUUGUCCUCAUCGUGAUCCCAUUUAUUCUUGCAUCAGCCUUAAUAUGUGUCUAGAAACUGAGGCAGAGAAUGAUAUAUAAGUUGUUCAGCUCAUAAGGGAAAUCACAAGAGAGCAAGAAUUUGAAACAUGGUAUGUCUGCCUAUAUGAAGCUGGUGCUCUCCACCAUAGGAGACACCCAUCCCCGGUAGGGACUCUGUAAUAAAUGAGAUUACACACUGAGAAUGUUUUGUAAAGUAAACCUAAUCCAUAAAUAAAAGUCUUGUGAUUCUUCAUAUUAUCCUCUCUUAUUAUCUACACAAUAUUAUAACAACUUCAG
Molecule: long non-coding RNA, 1654 nt
Filed under: Marmota monax (woodchuck)
Lineage: Eukaryota; Metazoa; Chordata; Mammalia; Rodentia; Sciuridae
Source: RNAcentral